UCCUGACCACACGGGGGCCUCGGAAGAGGCUGAGACCGGGCUGACACCGCCCGAGACCGUCGAACCUGAUCCGGCUCGUACCGGCGUAGGAAGUGAGGACAGCCCAUGG
RNAcentral lists this non-coding RNA (109 nucleotides) under Microbacterium sp. RNAcentral's name for it is "TPP sequence". It matches the Rfam family "TPP riboswitch aptamer (THI element)". From Rfam's summary of the family: Vitamin B(1) in its active form thiamin pyrophosphate (TPP) is an essential coenzyme that is synthesised by coupling of pyrimidine and thiazole moieties in bacteria. Lineage: Bacteria; Bacillati; Actinomycetota; Actinomycetes; Micrococcales; Microbacteriaceae. RNAcentral also lists the same sequence under 1 other name. The record is from RNAcentral.